GGAAUAUAGCGAGACAGUGAAUACAAUGAAAUAUAUGGAAAACAACGGAAUACAUUGAAAUACAAUUAAAAAAAGACAAUAAAUACAAUGAAAUAUAUAUAAUACAACGAUAUAUAUUGAAAUAUAAUUAAAAAAGACAAUGAAUACAAUAAAAUACAUCGAGAUACACUUAAACAUAUUAACAGAAAAUUCAAGUUGCUACAAAAAAUUCAAGUUGCUCCGCUCCAACUCUUUUGUCUUUAUUCAAGAACAAACAUACUGUCGUCUCGUUGAUCAGUAUCCAGUCCUGGCUCGCCAUCACCGUUGCCUGCGAUUACCAACGAUUAGCACGUAAUUACCGGCGAAUUAAGGAAGAUUUUGUUGAUCUGAUAUGUUGCGUUAGAGAAUGAGAUUGGGAUGCUGAGGACGUCGGUAUCAAUGAAUAAAGGCGCAAAAUGGCAGAACUAGCCAAAAACACAACGUAAAGUCCAAUCUAGAUAAUAUACAAUAUUGACCUCUGCUGAGAGUGCAUCACCAUUCAUACAAAAUUGACUAUAAUCCAUCUAAGCAUUUUCUGAACACAAUGUUUAUCAUCUCUUUCAAAUUCCUGUUGGCCACUAUCUCAGUAUCUCCGAGAUCUAAAGCAGCCAAUUGGUGUUUCACCUGAUAAACAUCAAAUUCCUGCAAGCCACUAUCUUAGUAUCUCCGAGAUCUAAAGCUUUCAUUGAUGUUUUUGGUCGAAACAUUGCCGGCGGCAAUUGCCCUAGCGUCAGGGAGGAGAUGACAUCCGGAAGUAGAGAGAGGGAUAAUAGAUAUGAGCUAGGGAAUAAGAGAAAUUUGAGUGGAUAUGAGAGAGUACAAAAUUUAUUUUAUGGCUUAAGAGGAGAAGGUGAUUAUAAAUAGAUAUUUGACUAUAAAAACCAAAAGGUAGCUAUAAAAUAUAAUUUUUUAACAGGGUAUUUAUUUAAAAUAAAUAAGGUAUCAACAUUUGCUAUAUGAGGUAACUAUCCUAUUCUUAAUCGUCCAAUACUAGUAUACUUUCUU
This 1023-nucleotide long non-coding RNA is filed under the name Nicotiana benthamiana. RNAcentral's name for it is "long non-coding RNA (NBEN_LNC020082)". The record is from RNAcentral. Lineage: Eukaryota; Viridiplantae; Streptophyta; Magnoliopsida; Solanales; Solanaceae.